CAGUCGCCGCGGUAAUACGUAGGUGGCAAGCGUUGUCCGGAAUUAUUGGGCGUAAAGGGCUCGCAGGCGGUUUCUUAAGUCUGAUGUGAAAGCCCCCGGCUCAACCGGGGAGGGUCAUUGGAAACUGGGAAACUUGAGUGCAGAAGAGGAGAGUGGAAUUCCACGUGUAGCGGUGAAAUGCGUAGAGAUGUGGAGGAACACCAGUGGCGAAGGCGACUCCCUGGUCUGUAACUGACGCUGAGGAGCGAAAGCGUGGGGAGCGAACAGGAUUAGAUACCCCAGUAGUCCCUGUCUCUUAUAA
RNAcentral lists this ribosomal RNA (301 nucleotides) under uncultured bacterium. RNAcentral describes it as "partial 16S ribosomal RNA". It matches the Rfam family "Bacterial small subunit ribosomal RNA", at positions 509 to 809 of the family's 1533-position model. The record is from RNAcentral.